RNAcentral lists this ribosomal RNA (253 nucleotides) under uncultured bacterium. RNAcentral describes it as "partial 16S ribosomal RNA". It matches the Rfam family "Bacterial small subunit ribosomal RNA", at positions 524 to 776 of the family's 1533-position model. The record is from RNAcentral.
UACGUAGGGUGCGAGCGUUGUCCGGAAUUAUUGGGCGUGAAGAGCUUGUAGGCGGUUUGUCGCGUCUGCUGUGAAAAUCUGGGGCUCAACCCCGGACGUGCAGUGGGUACGGGCAGACUAGAGUGUGGUAGGGGAGACUGGAAUUCCUGGUGUAGCGGUGAAAUGCGCAGAUAUCAGGAGGAACACCGAUGGCGAAGGCAGGUCUCUGGGCCACUACUGACGCUGAGAAGCGAAAGCAUGGGGAGCGAACAGG